This 49-nucleotide ribosomal RNA is filed under the name Pseudobacciger cheneyae. RNAcentral describes it as "partial 28S ribosomal RNA". Lineage: Eukaryota; Metazoa; Platyhelminthes; Trematoda; Strigeidida. The record is from RNAcentral.
UGACCUCGGAUCAGACGUGAAUACCCGCUGAACUUAAGCAUAUUAAUAG